Homo sapiens (human) is the source of this 2345-nucleotide RNA transcript. It is a transcript of the gene named stathmin 3, with no coding region annotated. The transcript is spliced from 5 exons. Lineage: Eukaryota; Metazoa; Chordata; Mammalia; Primates; Hominidae. The record is from RefSeq and is marked reviewed.
ACUGCAGCACCAGCCGUCUGCAGCUCCGGCCGCCACUUGCGCCUCUCCAGCCUCCGCAGGCCCAACCGCCGCCAGCACCAUGGCCAGCACCAUUUCCGCCUACAAGGAGAAGAUGAAGGAGCUGUCGGUGCUGUCGCUCAUCUGCUCCUGCUUCUACACACAGCCGCACCCCAAUACCGUCUACCAGUACGGGGACAUGGAGGUGAAGCAGCUGGACAAGCGGGCCUCAGGCCAGAGCUUCGAGGUCAUCCUCAAGUCCCCUUCUGACCUGUCCCCAGAGAGCCCUAUGCUCUCCUCCCCACCCAAGAAGAAGGACACCUCCCUGGAGGAGCUGCAAAAGCGGCUGGAGGCAGCCGAGGAGCGGAGGAAGGCAAGGAGUCCUCCAUCCCCCACCCCCCAGGAGUUUCAACGGAGGCGGCCCACGGGGACAGGGCCUGCAAGAAGCAGGGUGCUCCCGGACAGGCUUGACGCAGGAGGCGCAGGUGCUGAAGCAGCUGGCGGAGCGGCGCGAGCACGAGCGCGAGGUGCUGCACAAGGCGCUGGAGGAGAAUAACAACUUCAGCCGCCAGGCGGAGGAGAAGCUCAACUACAAGAUGGAGCUCAGCAAGGAGAUCCGCGAGGCACACCUGGCCGCACUGCGCGAGCGGCUGCGCGAGAAGGAGCUGCACGCGGCCGAGGUGCGCAGGAACAAGGAGCAGCGAGAAGAGAUGUCGGGCUAAGGGCCCGGGACGGGCGGCGCCCAUCCUGCGACAGAACACGUUCGGGUUUUGGUUUUGUUUCGUUCACCUCUGUCUAGAUGCAACUUUUGUUCCUCCUCCCCCACCCCCGCCCCCAGCUUCAUGCUUCUCUUCCGCACUCAGCCGCCCUGCCCUGUCCUCGUGGUGAGUCGCUGACCACGGCUUCCCCUGCAGGAGCCGCCGGGCGUGAGACGCGGUCCCUCGGUGCAGACACCAGGCCGGGCGCGGCUGGGUCCCCCGGGGGCCCUGUGAGAGAGGUGGCGGUGACCGUGGUAAACCCAGGGCGGUGGCGUGGGAUCACGGGUCCUUACGCUGGGCUGUCUGGUCAGCACGUGCAGGUCAGGGCAGGUCCUCUGAGCCGGCGCCCCUGGCCAGCAGGCGAGGCUACAGUACCUGCUGUCUUUCCAGGGGGAAGGGGCUCCCCAUGAGGGAGGGGCGACGGGGGAGGGGGGUGAUGGUGCCUGGGAGCCUGCGUGUGCAGCCGGUGCUUGUUGAACUGGCAGGCGGGUGGGUGGGGGCUGCAGCUUUCCUUAAUGUGGUUGCACAGGGGUCCUCUGAGACCACCUGGCGUGAGGUGGACACCCUGGGCCUUCCUGGAAGCCUGCAGUUGGGGGCCUGCCCUGAGUCUGCUGGGGAGUGGGCAUUCUCUGCCAGGGACCCAUGAGCAGGCUGCAUGGUCUAGAGGUUGUGGGCAGCAUGGACAGUCCCCCACUCAGAAGUGCAAGAGUUCCAAAGAGCCUCUGGCCCAGGCCCCUCCCCACCAGGGCUUUGCAGAUGUCCUUGAAAGACCCACCCUAGAGCCCUUUGGAGUGCUGGCCCCUCCUGUGCCCUCUGCCCUGGUGGAAGCGGCAGCCACAAGUCCUCCUCAGGGAGCCCCAAGGGGGAUUUUGUGGGACCGCUGCCCACAGAUCCAGGUGUUGGAAGGGCAGCGGGUAAGGUUCCCAAGCCAGCCCCAACACCCUUCCCACUUGGCACCCAGAGGGGGCUGUGGGUGGAGGCCUGACUCCAGGCCUCUCCUGCCCACACCCUCUGGGCUGAGUUCCUUCUUUCCCUUGGACGCCCAGUGCUGGCCUUGGAGGACGGUCAGCUGGAGGAUGGCGGUGGGGGAGGCUGUCUUUGUACCACUGCAGCAUCCCCCACUUCUCCACGGAAGCCCCAUCCCAAAGCUGCUGCCUGGCCCCUUGCUGUAAAGUGUGAAGGGGGCGGCUGAGUUCUCUUAGGACCCAGAGCCAGGGCCCUCAACUUCCAUCCUGCGGGAGGCCUUGGCCGGGCACUGCCAGUGUCUUCCAGAGUCACACCCAGGGACCACGGGAGGAUCCUGACCCCUGCAGGGCUCAGGGGUCAGCAGGGACCCACUGCCCCAUCUCCCUCUCCCCACCAAGACAGCCCCAGAAGGAGCAGCCAGCUGGGAUGGGAACCCAAGGCUGUCCACAUCUGGCUUUUGUGGGACUCAGAAAGGGAAGCAGAACUGAGGGCUGGGAUAUUCCUCAUGGUGGCAGCGCUCAUAGCGAAAGCCUACUGUAAUAUGCACCCAUCUCAUCCACGUAGUAAAGUGAACUUAAAAAUUCAAUCAAAUGAACAAUUAAAUAAACACCUGUGUGUUUAAGA